AUCCACCAACUGCAAUCUUUCAGUAUCUACUUGUAUUACUAUACAUAUUCACAAUGAAUGUGACAGCCGUCCUUGCUCCUCUCCUGCUUGCUGCCGUCGCCAUGUUUCAAGGCGCUAAUGGGCAUCAUCAUCAUCAUCAUCAUCAUGGGCACCACCACGGGCACCACCACGGGCACCACCACGGGCACCAUCACGGAAAAUAGAUGAGACGUUUGGGGACUCAUCGAAACAUAUUGAUGCAUCAUCUAACACAAUAUGUUUUCCAUCUCAGCUGUGCUAUCGAAUAAAGUUUACAUGAUUCUUAUUUAUGAUGUU
Molecule: long non-coding RNA, 315 nt
Organism: Haliotis rufescens (red abalone)
Lineage: Eukaryota; Metazoa; Mollusca; Gastropoda; Lepetellida; Haliotidae
Exons: 3
Source: RefSeq, a predicted model, not a curated record